GGGUAUAGCUCAGUGGCAGAGUGCCUGCCUGGCAAGUGCAAGGUCCUGGGUUUGAUUUCCAGUACCC
Molecule: transfer RNA, 67 nt
Filed under: Cavia porcellus (domestic guinea pig)
Lineage: Eukaryota; Metazoa; Chordata; Mammalia; Rodentia; Caviidae
Rfam family: tRNA
About the family: Transfer RNA (tRNA) molecules are approximately 80 nucleotides in length. Their secondary structure includes four short double-helical elements and three loops (D, anti-codon, and T loops).
Source: Rfam by way of RNAcentral